Molecule: ribosomal RNA, 373 nt
Filed under: uncultured bacterium
Lineage: Bacteria
Description: bacterial SSU rRNA
Rfam family: Bacterial small subunit ribosomal RNA
Source: RNAcentral
AUACGGAGGAUGCGAGCGUUAUCCGGAUUUAUUGGGUUUAAAGGGUGCGCAGGCGGAAUAGUAAGUCAGUGGUGAAAACCUGCAGCUUAACUGUAGAAUUGCCGUUGAUACUGUUAUUCUUGAGUAUGGUCAAGGUAGGCGGAAUGUGUAAUGUAGCGGUGAAAUGCUUAGAUAUUACACAGAACACCGAUUGCGAAGGCAGCUUGCUGGGUCAUUACUGACGCUCAUGCACGAAAGCGUGGGGAUCGAACAGGAUUAGAUACCCUGGUAGUCCACGCCGUAAACGAUGAUCACUAGCUGUUGGCGAUACACAGUCAGCGGCAAAGCAAAAGCAUUAAGUGAUCCACCUGGGGAGUACGGCCGCAAGGCUGAA